GCGGUAAUUCCAGCUCCAAUAGCGUAUAUUAAAGUUGUUGCAGUUAAAAAGCUCGUAGUUGAACCUUGGGCCUGGCUGGCCGGUCCGCCUCACCGCGUGCACUGGUUCGGCCGGGCCUUUCCCUCUGGGGAACCGCAUGCCCUUCACUGGGUGUGGC
RNAcentral lists this ribosomal RNA (157 nucleotides) under uncultured fungus. RNAcentral's name for it is "partial 18S ribosomal RNA". It matches the Rfam family "Eukaryotic small subunit ribosomal RNA", at positions 576 to 732 of the family's 1831-position model. Lineage: Eukaryota; Fungi. The record is from RNAcentral.